CCAGCGAGAGAAAAACAUCACCAAACUGCAUUGGCUCUUUCAUACUUCUCAAGCCAGAUUCUGCCACACACACACAAAAAAAAAAUCUCACUCGUCUCAUUUUAGUUCUAGAAGAAGAAUCUCAUUCCGAACCAUGAGGUUUUUAUUUGAGAAUUCCUUGCGGCCAGGUGUCAAUACUGUUUGACGCCACCUAGCCUCAAAUGGUAGUGGCUUUGCUGACAGCCACCCUUCAUACGGGCAGCCCCAUGUUCGGCUGUUUCGCUUCGGUUCUUCUGUUAUGGUUCGGCUGUUUUAUUUUAGUUUGAUGUCAUGGUUUAUUAAUACAUGGUGAAUAACAUUUUAAUACAUGGCGACUCAUUGUUUAAUAAGUAUAUGAUAAACUUUUUCGAAUAAAUACUUCGCAUUUUGGUAAUAAGUUGAACAUUAUUUGAUAUACAAUGAACAUUUUUAUAUAUGGUGAAUUUAUUUAAUUACACACACACAAAUUACACAACUGGUAUUUUUAAUAUACAAUCAGUAUUUUAAGUAUGUACUUUUCUAAACACGUAUUAAACAAAGAAAACUGAAGAAAACCAAUGAAAACUAGUAAGAAAACACACAAAGGAAAAGACUCGUAUAGAAGCUAAACCGGACCGAACCGGUCGAUAGAAGUUUCACAAAAGCAUUCUUAGCAGGUAUAGUACUAGGCCGAUGCGAGACCAAAGGAUGGAUAUAACCCUGGCGAGGGACCUCCUAAUUAACGCGGUGCACGCUCGCGACGAGCCAACCCGCAUAAUCCCUCCCCCCGACGUGCCCUUUUGGGUCGACCCAUGUGCGGGGCGGGAUGCACCCUUUUUUGUCCCUUUAUUUUUUCUUUCCUGUUUUUCCUUUAUCUUUUAAAAAUGUUCAUAGUUUGGAAAUAAAUGUUGGCUAAUUCAAAAGUUGUUCAUUAUUUGGAUAUAAAAAAUGUUUUACAAAUCAACAAAUGUUCAUGAUUUGGAAAUAAACGUUUGCUUAUUAAAAGAAUGUUCUUGAAUUUGAACAUAAAUUCAUGAAUUCAAAACAAAUUCCUGAACUUUAAAAAUGUUCAUGACUUACAAAAAAAGGUCAUCAAGUCAAAAAUGUUCGUCAAUUCAAAACAAUGUUCAUAUAUCAGAAAAUGUUCAGGGAUUAUGAAAAUGUUCGGAAAUUUAGAACGGGUUCACCAAUUCAAAAAAUGUAUAUGAAUUUGCAAAUAUGUUUUACAAGUUUAAAAUGUUCAUUAUUUAUCUAGAAUGUUCACAAAAUUCAAAACAAAAUUGGAAAUUUCAUAAAAAAUUUCCCGAACUGAAAGAAAAGUUCAUCAACUCAAAAAGUGUUCAUGAAUGGGGAAAAUGUUUAUGCAUUCCAAGAAAUGUUUUGAUUAAACACAACCAAAAUGUCCAUGUGUUUCAGACAUUGAUCCCAAAAUUUUAAAGAUGUUUGUUGGUUUAAAAAUGUCGUCGAUUCAAAAAAUGUUCAUGAUUUCAAAAUCAUUCACAAUUUUAAAAACUGUUGACUAGUUUGGAAAAAUUUAUCAUGAAUUCGAUUAAAUAAUUGAAUAUUUUCGAAAAUAUUCAUGAUUUAAAAACUGUUACAAAUUGGAAAGACGUUUGCAAAUGAAAAUGAAAAGGUCAAGGAUAAAAAAGAAAGAAAAUGAAAAUAAAAGAGGGAAAUAAAAACAUAAGUAAAAAAACAUGAUAAAUCCGAAUGCAAAACAAAAAUGUAAAAAUAAAGUUUUGAAAGAAAAUAACACAAAAACAGAAAGGAAAUAACAAAACAUAUAAAAGAAAGAAAAAAUGGGUCGUGCUUAAAACGGUCUUAAUUGGGCCUGGGCUAGCAGCGGUUGGAGGGUAUAGCUGGCCCAUUACGACGGUCGGGAAGCCCAACAAUUUUCCAGCGCGGACAAGCGGUGCGUGAUCUCGGAAUCGAUCGUGCCAGCCUAGCUCCAACUUCAAUGUCCUCAAUGAUCACUUCUCUCGAUUUGUACGAAUCAUCAAGCAAGGAAAAAAAAGAAGAAGAAUUGUCUCGGUACUGGUGGGCGCCACGAAAAGAUCGCCCUCACGGUCAAUGGCCGCACCAUCACCGUCACCGUGCUGCGGGUCUCCAGGAGCAGUAGGAAGAGCGCGUUGGACUCUCGUGGACCGUCCAUCUGGCCGCCGCUUUUGCCUGGACGGUGGGGAUGGCGCAUGUACCACCACCCCUCAUGCGCGCCCAAAAGAGAGAGAGUUGCUGUCGCCGGCCAGGGUGCGGGUCGGCUUCAACGGCAAGACCCGCCGCGCGAGAAACAUGACACUACACCGUUCCCCGUUCUACCCUUCGCAGGUGGUCUGGCACUCGCAGAGACGUACGUACACAGCCACUCCUUUGAUGAUCCAUGUAACUAAUCAGUCAGCAUCAACGCACGCAGUAUGAUUUGUAAGUUUACAGAUCCCGAUCCGGCGGUAUGUACGACUUCAUCCAUAACACAUGGUCAACUAUAUCAUAUCAAACCUAUGUGCCAGGAUAAAGAAUCACAGACAUGACAGCUACUACACAUCGUUCUUGCAUGUAAAUAAUUUUAUUGUGAAAAGAUCAAAAUCUAUUAGUACCACCUCCGACACGGUUUAGAAGAUGUGUUUGGGAAUUCUCUGAAACCUAGGUGGUUAUUGAUUGGCCGUGAGAUGAGUUGAAAAAAAAAACAUUCAUACUACGCAUGCAUAUAGAAGCAGUACAACGAAAUACUAAUUAGUUGUCAGGAGUAAAUGCAAUGCGUCUUAAACCUUGUCAAUAAUGAAAAUAAACGUAAAAUGAACCGUGUUUUUUAAAUUGUGACCGAGGGAGUAUAAAUGUUCAUGACAAUUAGAACGGCACCUUCAAACAUAAUAAAAAUUACUCCACCGGUCCCUAAUAUAAGGGCGCUGCUCGGCGAGAUCCGUCUCCUCGCAAGCCGUGCGAUCUGACCGACUGAGGCGUCCUGGCGUUAUGCCUUAUCAUUGCAACGCCGAACAUGUUGCAGAAAAAUUCUGCAAUACGGGUUAUGUUGCAGAAUUUUUCUGCAACACAUAUCAAGUUUCAUUUUUUUUAUAACAAAGGUCUUGUUACAGUUUUUUCCUAUAAUAAUGGUUUUGUUGCAAUUUAUUUUUCUACAACAAAGAUCUCGUGUCAAUUUAGUUUUUCUCCAACGGUGGUCUUGUUGUAUAUUUUUGCAAGAAAGACCUUGUUGCAGAAACUUAUCGUACUAACGUACAGUGAGUAGUGAGUAGAUUGACUGAAGAAAGAAAAAAAAAAUGUUUAGGACAACAUAUGUGUCAGACGGACAAGCCGUCAGAUGCUCGCAUGAGAUCCGCCAGUGGAAGCAAAGCGUUUUCCAUAAUAUAAGUGCAUUUUUGAUACUUUGAUGUCCUAGACCAUCAAACGACCAUUUUCACCGUCAGAACAAGACAACGACGCAUCGCUGUCACCACUCCCCUAUCGGAUUCGACUUGACCUUGUCCAUGACAUCCGGAAAAGUCGUUGUAAACGUGCCUUUAAAGACCAGUGCCCUUAAGCCGCAGCCAUCGCCGUUGAACCGUGCAUAGAUGUGAAGCAUCUCAUGAGAAUCUCGCCAUCACACAUGCACGGUGAGAGAUCUAACCUCACAGCCCCAACGAGGCGAUAGUAAUUUAUGUCGGAGCUCCGUCGAUUAUGUUUAGAUGGACGAACUCAAAGAUAAUCGGAUCUUGAAACACAAAUUCACAGAAGAGGUGUCGCCAUUCAUCUGAACGAUGCACAUAUGUGGACUAGAAAAAUCCUAACCUAAACUAGUAGCUGGAGCAUAAGCAUCAGUAUUCCCCUCCCCGCCAUCGAUUGUGGGAGUGAAAGCGGAGGGGAGGCGAACCCAUAGACUCACCAACAAACAUAAGGAAAGAGUUUUCUCUAGCCAUCAAGAGGAAGGUGGGAACGCAUGAAUGCCCGGUAGCUUGCAUGUCAGGGCAUGUACAAAGUUAUUACUUGCACUAAAAGAUCUACUACUAAGAACAUCUACAACUGGACCCCUCAUAGCCGCACGUCCAGUUAGGUUGCCCGAUCACUACCCCAACAAAAAAAGCACCACUCAACCAGAAUCGCCAUAUCUAGACCAAACGUCUGGACGGACCAAUACUCCCAUGCCUGACCCAUAACUAGGGCGGCUAUGGGGAUGCCUGGACGCGCCCAGACUCCCUAUACCUAACUGCAAGGGCUCACGCGGUCACGCAGAUAUGCCACUGGUCCGACGGGUGUCUCCUUCUCUUCACAUCGCGCGCAACCGAUCCGGUGUGCCGCCCCAGGGAGAAAGUCAACUAUUUUAUGCUAGACAGUGGCAACCGGACCCUAGUUGUCCCCAUUCCCUCCCCUUUCCCCUCCUCACCGUCGUCACUUCCAAAGCCGUCAACCGCUAGCCACGCGUGGCACCGGAUCACCACACACUCGAUGCUGACGGCAGAGUGCCGGUUGUAGCCCCUGAAGGAUACAUGCCAGACGCGCUUCUCGUUUCGUGGCGGGCAUGCCUCCGGGUUCGUCAAAGCCGGAGGAGGUGGGGGAUGAUGGGGACAAGGCAAGGGGGGAUUGGCCGGUCACGGGCUUUGCCAUGACGGAUUACGAGGUCGCAAAGCGGCGGAUAUGGUGGAGCAGUCCGUCAUCCUCGAGUCCAUCCAAGACGAGGCCUACGUGAAGGACAACCGACCCUUCAUCCGGCAUCACAGCUACAUGAAGGACGACGAGCUCUUUGCCCCUACCAUAUCCGAAGAUGAGCUAGAGCUGUUGUAAUUGUCUGCCUACUCGGAGCCUGGCACGAAGAUAACGGACAUCUUCAAAGAUGAGUUGUUUAGAUAUGUACGUGUACGAACUAUAUAUUUAUUUUAUCUACAUGAUUACUAUGGAUUUUUAGGUUUCAUGCGUGACACAUUUUUUUUUGUGCGUUGUCCGGUCACACGAACCAAUGAACGCAUCGGAGUUUGCUUGUUGUGGUUGUAGAUGUUCUAAACGAUUAUUCUUGCAUCGCCCAGUUAAUCAAGCAAUCUAGAGUAUGCUCCUACAUAAUUUGUUGGCGAUUAAAACCACUCCCGGAAACGGUGUUCACCGGCUUAUCUGAACGAAAUAUAAAUGUUUAGUUUAGAUAUAUACAUAAUAUAUACAUAAUAUAUAAAUGUUUCAAUAUAUUAUACAUAAUAUAUAAAUGUUUCAUCUGCAUGAUUAGCAUGGAUUUAAAGUUUCAUAUUUGAGGUUAGUGGGUGCAGCGGGCGUUUUGGUGUGCCAUUCGAUCACUUUCCGUAGGCACAACAGUUUUUACUUGUUGCUAAUUAAUCUAUACCUACUAAUAAAAAAAUAUGUAUUUGUAGUCCGUUAUACUUUUUUUAUAUAAACCACCCUUAAGUUUCUAGUAAUCAACCCGCAGUACAUAUUAGUUGAUUUUUUGAUAAUUCAUAUCUUCUUAACGCUAACUUCAAAUUAAACAUGUUAUAUAUGAAAUUUGAUUAGAAAAAUAUGUAGAAUCUGAAUAUGAUAUUAUUUUACGUGUUAACAUUUAAAAAAAUGCUAUUUAUGAUAAAACCUUAAUCGAUAGCGCAUGAUCAGUCUUUCCUUCAUAUCGAUGCCGAUUCGAAUUGAAAAUGAACACUUUGGCAAAACUAGGAUGGAAAACAAAAACAAUAACUAUAAUCACGCAUGCACGCCUUGUCAAAACCUCACAGAAAAAAUGAAUUAAUCAUUUUAUGUCGGGAGAGAUGUCUUUCCUUCAUAUCGAUGCCGAUUCGAAUUGAAAAUGAACACUUUGGCAAAACUAGGAUGGAAAACAAAAACAAUAACUAUAAUCACGCAUGCACGCCUUGUCAAAACCUCACAGAAAAAAUGAAUUAAUCAUUUUAUGUCGGGAGAGAGACAUCUUAAGAUUGACAACAUUCAAACAUGUUGUGAUGGUGUGAACACUAAGGCCAACGUCGACGAGCGUGGGAAGAAGGGUAAAUAGAAAUACAGAUGGGAUGUCAUGUGUUGAAAUAAAGGACAUGGGCCUAUGGACUCAUGAUUGCUAGAUUAGUGAGUGUUUUUCUUACCCGUUGCAAUGCACUGACUCUUUUGCUAGUUACAUACCUAACGUUCUUGCAUCGUCCAGUUAAUCAAAUACUCCAUCCGUUUCUAAAUAUAAGACCUUUUAAAGAUUAUACUAUGUAUUACAUACGAAGCGAAAUAAAUGAACCUAUACACUAAGGUCCUAUUUGAAUCACCGUUUCUCUUUUAAAUACACGUGUAGAAAAUAUAGACCCACGUCCGUCAGUUUCAUUUCCCGCUGGAAUUUGCAUAAUGGUCAGUAAAUUACAGGUGUAAAUUAUACACCUUCGUAUUGAAAUAUAUCUAUAUGUCUACAUACAUCCGUAUAUAAUUUAUAAUGAAAUAUCUAAAAUAUCUUAUAUUUACGAACGGAGAGAGUAUAAUCUAGAGUAUACAUAAUUUGUUGACGAUUAAAACCACUCCCGGAAACGGUGUUCACCGGCUUAUCUGAACGAAAACAGCUAGUAGUUCCCGGUGUCUUCUUCAGCAAGCAAAAGCGCAGGAGUGACGGCGAGGUAAACGGCAAGCGCACGACCACGACGGGCGGACGAUUCCAUCAUUCUAUCGCCCCGAUCGGAUGCCCGAAAACAAACCACGUUCUUCUUGCUCCCUAAGCCAAGAAGACGGGGGCUAUAAAGGUCAAUUCGCCCGCCCCCCGCCUCCCCCUUCCCACGACCCCGCCCCAAUACGGGAUACCCCCCUCGACACCCCCCGAUUCGAAUCCGCAGCCCCAGAGACAGAUACACGGAGAGAGAGAGAGGGGAACCAAAUCGGACGCCGCCGAGCUCCUCCCCUCUCGAUCUAGGGAUUCCCUCCCCCUCCCCCUCCCUCACCCCAAAACCCUAGAGGCGGGUCCAUGGCUGACGACCACUACAACCCCGCCUCCGCGUCCGCGCCGUCUUCGGCGGCGGCGGCGGCGGCCGAGGCCGCGGCGGUGGUGGGCUCCUCGGUGAUCCCGAUCGUCAACAAGCUGCAGGACAUCUUCUCGCAGCUGGGGAGCAGCUCCACCAUCGACCUGCCGCAGGUGGCCGUCGUCGGCAGCCAGAGCAGCGGCAAGUCGAGCGUCCUCGAGGCGCUCGUCGGCCGCGACUUCCUCCCGCGCGGCUCCGACAUCUGCACGCGCCGCCCGCUCGUCCUCCAGCUCGUGCACCAGCCGCGACGCCCAGCCGACGCCGACAAGGACGAGUGGGGCGAGUUCCUGCACCACCCCGGCCGCCGCUUCUACGAGUUCCCCGACAUCCGACGCGAGAUCCAGGUCCGCCUCCUUGCACCCCCUCCUGUUGGUCUGUCCGUCUCCGCAUAUGGACCCCGAUGGUACCUAGGUUGAUCUGGUCAUGCGGUUAGUGUGCUAUAACAGCUCCAGUACUGCAUUGCGGCCGAUUACAUUGGUUGGGGUGCGGACUAUUGUUUGGUUGCGGUGCUGGUGGUUGUUUGGACGAAUCAUGCCCAAGCUGGUGGCGGUUUUUGAUUAGUAUAUUAUAUGCUAUAGCACAGCUGUUGCUGCUGCCUUACCAGAUUUCUUGGGUUGGGAGAUGAUGCUUUUGGGUAGGCAUUGUGGUAAUUCCAGUAACUUGGCGCCGUAUCAUGAUUUGGUUGUGCUGAUGCUAGGUCCAUGCUGCUUUCUGUUAGUGCUUGUGGUUGUUUCUACAUCCUAUGAUUUGCCCUCUUUUGGAUUUAUGUAGUGCCCUUUAUGUAUUGCUGCAUUCUGGGGUAUAUUGUUCGUUCGAACAUUGAACUUCUUAACGGUAUCCUCCAAUGGUAGUAUUGUUUGGAAAUUUAAUUAUUGCUCUGUUUAUUCAGCGACUUUGAUCCAACGGCUGAUACUGUUCAAUUACUCUAGUGUUUGUUUGAAAAAAGUGCUGGAAAGUCUGCUGACGAAUUAUAAUCUGGGGCAGAGAAUCGUGUAGUGCACUGACUUGGUUUUAACUAGAAUGAUGAUAACACCUGUUAACAAUAAAUCUCAACACGGAUGCAGGCAGAAACGGACAGGGAGGCUGGCGGCAACAAGGGCGUCUCAGAUAGACAGAUACGUCUGAAGAUCUAUUCGCCAAAUGUUCUCAACAUCACUUUGGUCGAUCUGCCUGGAAUUACUAAGGUGCCAGUUGGUGACCAACCAACUGACAUUGAGGCCAGAAUAAGGACUAUGAUAUUGUCAUAUAUCAAGCACAAGACAUGCAUCAUAUUGGCUGUUUCUCCAGCAAAUGCAGAUUUAGCAAACUCUGAUGCUCUUCAAAUGGCUCGGCAAGCCGAUCCUGAUGGUAUGUAUGCCUCUCCAAGUCAUGUGUUUAGUUUGAUAGACCAUUAUUUCUAUUAAGAUGCAAAUCAUACUUGGCGGAUUCUUUGUUUGUGUAGGUUCUCGAACAAUUGGUGUUAUCACAAAGGUUUGCCCCUGAACCUUAAAAUAUACUGUAUAUGCCAUUGUAUAAAAAGAAGGUUGCAUCCUUUAAAUGUCAUCUUUACUGCUCUUCUGUUUUCUUCCAGUUGGACAUAAUGGACCGGGGCACUGAUGCCCGGAAUUUUUUGUUGGGAAAUGUCAUCCCAUUACGACUUGGUUAUGUUGGUGUUGUAAACCGCAGCCAACAGGUACUUUAGUUUGCAGCAUGUUUUGCUUAGCUUAAGGAUUAUGCAUCGAUAACUUAAUAUCUUCAUGACAUUGCUUUCUUUUGCAAGUUUGGUAGUGGCUUAACUUUGUGGUCGCUGUGCUCAUUCUGUAUAGUAACAAAAAAUUUCAGAUGAAGUAAUUUACUAAUUUUGUGUCAUUGUGGACUGUUGCCUGUCGAUAAAUACUCCCUCCGUCCCAAAAUAAGUGUCUUAAGCUUAGUACAAAUUUAUACUAGAGCUAGUACAAAGUUAAGACAGUUAUUUUGGGACAGAGGGAGUAGUUGUUAACAACCCUAACUAACUUAGGUGAACCUAACACGUGAUGUAGAAAAAAAUGGUGAACUUAACACCUAUUUCAUAUGUAUCCAAGAUCAGUUUCCGAAUGCUGUGAUAGUAAUUAUUAAUUGUAGGAAUGUCUUGAACAUAUUUUGUUAUUGCACAGCACCUUCUUUGGUGAUACAAAAAGUUAUUUUUUUCUUUUUCCUUAGCUUUCUAAUGUAUAUCGUGCUGAAUGAUGUAGGAUAUCAAUUCAGAUGUCAGUGUCAAGCAGGCUCUGAUCCGAGAAGAAAGUUUCUUCCGUACUCAUUCGGUAUGCUGCAGUGAAGUUCACUGUUUCUUCUGUUCUGUGUUCUUCUUUAUUGCAUCGUUCUGAAAUGUAACUCCUUGCAGGCAUACAAUGGUCUUGCUAAGCACUGUGGGAUACCACAGUUAGCAAAGAAGCUAAACCAGGUAUUUUGGUGAAGCGGAUGUCUGUUGUAGCCCAUGUUAUAUGACUUUCAAAUUUAUGCUGUGAUUUAACUAAAAAAUACAUCUAUGGGGUUUCAGAUCUUGGUCCAACAUAUAAGAACUAUUCUGCCUGGACUGAAGGCACGCAUAAGUUCUCAAUUGACAGCCAUUGCUAAGGAGCAUGCCUUUUAUGGUGACCCAGUCGAGUCCAAGGUCUGAUGAAUUAAUUUUAUUUGGUCAAUGUGAUAAGAAACAUACACCUUUUGUUAACCUUUGUAUGAGUAGGUUUGGUUAACAGCUAGUAAAAUCUGGUUGCUCAAUCUUGCUUCUGUUAAUUCGUUUGAUCUUUGCCUUGAUGAUCAAUUCCUAUGUUUCGUAAUUGCAGGCUGGGCAAGGUGCUAAGCUUUUGAACAUUCUAGCUAAAUAUUGUGAUGGUAAUAACUGAACCAUGACCUAUCUGGCUCCUUCGCUUCAGUCAUGUAUGUUAUGCUAUAUGUCAUUAUUUGUAAAUGUAAAUAACAUGUGUGUUCUGCAGCUUUCUCGUCUAUGGUAGAAGGAAAAAAUGAAGAUAUAUCAACAAUCGAGCUUUCUGGUGGAGCAAGAAUUCACUAUAUUUUUCAAUCAAUCUUUGUCAAAAGCUUAGAGGUUUGUAAGUUCGUCGCUGAAUCUUCCAGUAUGCUACAUCGUAGGAUUCAUCAUAUUCAUUAUCAUUAAGAUCUAAGAUCUGUCUUUUAUAGGGUGUUGACCCUUGCGAGGAUGUCACUGAUGAAGAUAUCCGCAUGGCUAUACAGAAUGCAACUGGUCCUAGGAGUGCUUUGUUCGUACCGGAGGUAUGAUGCACUUGUGCCCUUUGCGUAAGAAUUGUGUUAAUAUGUAUUCCCUCCGUAAAGAAAUGUAAGAGCGUUUACAUCAUUACUUUAGUGAUCCAAACGCUCUUAUAUUUCUUUACAGAGGGAGUAGAUGGUUUGGUACUGGUCAGUUGAGCUGAUAAUAAUACCUUGUGCUAAAAAUUUGUCAGGUGCCAUUUGAAGUCCUUGUGCGCAGGCAAAUCAGCAGAUUGCUUGAUCCAAGUCUUCAGUGUGCAGAUUUCAUAUACGAGGAGCUGGUUAAGGUAUGUCAGUCCAGCUGUAAAAUCUUGGAACCUGAAAUUGAAUCAUCUGUUUGGUUAAAUUUGCACAAUUUUCAACUUUCUAUAUUUUACUUCUCUUGCUAACUUGUGUUCUGCUGUAGAUGAGCCACCGUUGCCUUUGCAAUGAGCUGCAGCAGUUUCCUAUACUCAGAAGGAGCAUGGAUGAAGUAAUUGGGAAGUUUCUACGGGAUGGGCUUAAGCCAGCACAAGAUAUGAUAGCACACAUAAUUGAGAUGGAGGUAAACACUGUCUUGCCCUAUCAGGAUUCUAAUUAUUAUUUAUCCUAACAAACACGUAUGAGAAUUGACCCUAUUUGAUUUGAGCUUCCAUAUACAGUGAUGAAAACACCCCCACAAUUCUGUUUCUCUUAUUUAAUAACCCCAAAACUGGUUAUUUUGCAAAAUUAUUGCGAGUCUGUGCUCUGAAUAAUUUGUUCCCUUUGUUAUUCCUUCUUUGCACUGAUAUCCGGUCUGUUUUCAUUAUUUUUUACUUGAGAUGAUAUUGACUGUGCAGGCCGAUUACAUAAAUACAUCUCACCCAAGUUUCAUCGGUGGCAGCAAGGCUGUAGAGCAAGCACAGCAACAAGUUAGAGCAGCUAGAUUGCCUGCAACAGUGGUUAGAAGGGUAUGUAUACUUUUUAAAUUUUUAGAUAAGUAAUUUAUGCAAAUGGUGCCUUGCAAUUUAGUAUUUUUUAUCUGACUGCUUCCAUUUCUUACUGACAUGUACUGUCAGAACUUGGAAUUAGAAAAAGAGUUAAUUAGUGAUGCCUUGCAGAGUGUUACUUAUAUACGAUGUCGAGAUUCCUAUCAAUAUAUAGCUAAACUGUCAAUUAUUUAAAUAUUCCCUCUGUCCCAAAAUAAGUGUCGUUGGUCUAGUACAAAAUUUGUACUAACUUAGUACUAAAUCUGUGGCACUUAUUUUGGGACGGAGGGAGUAGUAGUUACUACUAUGUUGAUUUUUUCAUUGUAAUGAUCUCAAUGCAAUUCACGAUGACCCUGUUAUGCUCCAAGACAGUGCAAAUCAUCACAUGAACAUGUCAGUAUCAAACCAUUUAUAUUGUUGGGAGAAGGCGUGGAUACCACACCAACUCUAGCUGUACAUGUUAGAACUUCUGGUGCUAUAUAAGGAUUUUGGGCAUGCAGCCAUUUAUAUUGUUGGGAGAAGGCGUGAUACCACACCAACUCUUAACUGUACAUGUUAGAACUUCUGGUGCUGUAUAAGGAUUUUGGGCAUGCAAACUAUAUUUUUGGCACGUUUUAGCGAUUUGAUUUACAGAUGAUUGUUCUCUUACUAAGUUAUGCACGUACUGAAUGUUCUCUUACUAAUUUACAUAUGUAAUUUGAGCCAGUCCACAUUUUUUGAGGUACACCCUAGUAUGUAACAGUACUACAUUGCAGGAUGGAGUAGAUGCAGAUAGGCCACAGGCUUCUGAAAAAACCCAAAAAGCACGUGCAUUAUUGGGUAGAACUACUGGUGUAAAUGGAGUUAUCACCGACCAGAUCCAGGUUUUUUGCCUCGCUAUUUUUAAUCAGUAAGGUUACUAUUGAUUUGGUGGAGUGUUUCUGAGAUUAUGUUCCUUUGCUGUUGUGGUCAUUAUUAGCAGGGGGUACGAUCGGCUGCUGAGGCAGAGAGACCAGGAUCUUCAGGUAAGGAGUGUUACAAAUGCUAUGUAUUUUUUGAUUAUGUAUAUGCUAUUAUAUUGGAGUGCAGUAGGUCAGUUUAGUGUUCUUUUGGAACAGUACAAUUUCACCUAGUCCAUUUUGCUUAAACUGCUUAUCUUCCAGGUAGUGGAAGCACUUCGUUUUGGGGCUCAAUAUUCACCUCAAGCGAAGACCGUGCACCUUCUUCAGCAAGAGGUAGCUCAACGAACAAAUCUUAUGCUUCAGCUACUCCCAACCUGGAACAUUCAUUCUCUUCAAUACAGUUAAAAGAGGUGAGCUAUCUUAUUCAUGCUCUUUUAGUUUUUCUACCAGUGUUAUUUGAACGUGUUAAGUGAUUGAUGGAGACCCUUGUGAAACAGCCACCGCUAGUCCUCAAGCCUUCAGAAAAUCAUUCUGAGCAGGAGGAUCUUGAAAUAGCAAUCACAAAAUUGCUGCUGCAGUCAUAUUACAAUAUAGUAAGGAAAAAUGUCGAGGAUUUUGUACCAAAAGCAAUUAUGCAUUUUCUGGUAAGAUUCUUGUAACUCAAUAUUUACUUGAGAGUGCCUACUGCAGUUUUUUUUUCUGCAUGCACAACAUAUUUGUCUUAAGUUUCUUACGGCCUAUAUUUGCUUUGGAUAAGUAUGAUGACUGUUUCUGUGUAUGAUCUUUUUGCGCUAUUUCCUUAAUUGCAUAGUAAGCAUACAUGAAGGGCAGUACAUAAAUCUUAAACCCAGCAAUGUUCUGGCCUCAGUUACUGCCAAGCAAUGUUCAACACCAUAGGAUUAUCAAACAUUGUUGGGCAUGUUUAUUAUUGUGACUUUUACAGCAUGAUUAAAUUUCCUUCUUGCUUUAAGCAUUUGUUUACUAGUGAGUUUGAUUGCAUUGGGCGGAUUGCUGUAAAACACCUGAUAUUUUGUGUUUGUUAGUUCAGUUCUUUAAGGGAUUGAUUGUCUUGCAGGUUAAUCACACGAAAAGGGAGCUGCAUAAUUUCCUCAUAACUACCCUUUAUAGGUGAGGAAGGCACUUUGUACUCUUUACUUAAAUUUUGAGUAAUGUCCGGUGAACAGAGUCGAAUUAGUUGCUGCUGCUGCUGUAUACUAUGGUUAUUGAUAUUUUCGUAUACACCAAUGCAGAGAGGAGCUCUUUGGGGACAUUCUCAGAGAACCUGAUGAAAUAACUACAAAGAGGAGGCAGAUACGUGAUACCCUUAAGGUCCUUCAGCAAGCCUACAAAGUAUGUUUCCGCAACUGCUCAGGUCUCCAUCUAAUUAUGUCAUGCACUAUACUUGAUCUGACAUGUUUUGCACCCCGUGUUUCUUUGACAAUGAUGCAGACUUUGGACGAGAUACCGCUUGAAGCGGAGACAGUGGAGAGAGGCUAUUCCCUGGAUUCUGAUGCGACGGGUCUACCACGUGUCCAUGGGGUUUACGAUGGAAGUUCACCAUAUUCGACCCCGAAGCAAACAAGGCCUAGGAAAUCAAGCCACUCCGGGGAGCAGCAACAACCUUUCAGUGGCAAUGGAUUCUGAUAUUACCUUUCACGAUCAUCCCCUGGAUUAGUAGUGAUUUGAGCCAGCGGAUGUGCUGGUAGCAACACAUGAUUCCGCCUUGGGUUUGUCAGUUCGGUACCCAAUAGAUAUAUGUUUUUUUUCUCUAGCCAUUGCUAUUCUUUUUAGUGUUGCGCCCAACGAAAGCAUUGGCGUGGUGCCAAAUUUUUGCCAUGUUGCCCUCCUGUACAGUAUAUCACUGCCCAAUCAUUUCGACUUAAAAUGAAACCGGUGAUGGGUAUAGUUUCCUUUUUUGUUAAAAACCCAGGAAGAAGCCAUGGGAACCUUUAGUUUUAGUGCCGAGUACUUGUAUCUGAACACGGUUAGUUUUGCCGUGAUAAGUAUGACAUGGUUCGUGUGAAGAUGCGAAGAGGUUGUGCUACAUGAAUAUGUUUCUUUUUUUUGCUCAUCGAAUAGUAUGAUAUGUUUCUUUUGAUUUGCUCGUUUGAGGAAUUCUGGGGGCCAAAUAGAUCCGUGCAUGCGAUUAAAUGAAUGUACUACACCUUAUCAGCAUUUUAAAUUGGAGAACCCUAUAAUAGGGCUUAAGAGCACCUUUAACGGGCCGAUUCAAACGGACAACGAUUUUGUUCGUUUGGGUCGGCUAGGCGGACACGAACGUCCGUUUCCGUAAAUGGAUCGACGCAUGCGUCCAACGCUGAUUGGAUCAUUUUUACGACCGUGCAAGAAAAAAAAUACAUAAGUGUAUAAUUAAACAUUAAAAGCCGGUCACAAAGGCCGGCGAGAGUCCAAGCAUCCGCAUUGCACUAAUUAAACAUAAAAAUACCUAAAACUACGAGGACAACCCUAGUCGGCGGCUUCGUCGGGGACGGUGAGAAUAGGUCGACCAGCGCAGGGCCGGCCCACGGGAACGCCGUGUUCCAGAGCGCAGCUGCCUGUGCCUUCGUCGUCUGUCCCGCCGACGUGGGCUGUGCUGGUGGCGGUGGCAGCGCAGUAGCAAGGGCACGGUCCUCCGCCUCUGCCUCCCGUCGUUCCUCCUCCGCCUCCUUCUACAGCUCCAUCAGCCGAAGGCCCUCGGCGCGCUCCGCCCUUCAGUGCUCGAGGUAGGCUUGCUCGCGCCCAGCCAGAUGGGCGGCGCAAUGACGAACUUGUGGAUGAUGCCGGUCCACAGGUAGACCUCCCGCGGCUUCGUGGGCUCGGGCUUUGGCGGGGGUGGCACGACACAGUCGCUGACGGCCGACAGCGAGAUGGCCUCCGCGAGCUCCUGCUGGUAAUCGCCUCCUCGUCGGCCCUGCGCCGCGCUUCCUCCUCGCUGUCGCAGAGAACAGCUGCGAGCGCCGCCUAGUAGGCGGCCUCAGCCUCCUGGUCCUCGUCGCUGACGACAGGCGGGGGCGACCGAGGGCUUCCUCGCUGCACUUCGCCACGCCACAACGACGCAACUCCUCGUGCUCCACCGCGAACCACACCUCCUAGUUAGGCGAGUCGGCCGCGUACGUAGGGUCUCGCCGCUGCUCCGUCGUCAGCAGACAUCAACGACGACUCACCUCCUCCGCAAGCACCUGCGCCGACCGCGGCACGGCCGUCACCGGAAUCCUCUCCGGAUCCAGAUGCCAGCUGUGACAUCCUCGACUUUUGCUACAGUAGUAAUCGUAAUUAAGCUACAGUGAUCAACCGUUAAUGAUGCCACGUCAUCGGAUUUCCAUCUCAGACCCGCGUUGAUUCGAGUUUGUCCGGAUUUCAGAUUUGAAAACAAAAGUAGAGUACGUUAUGAGUUCAUUGCAAAUAUUACAAGAAUAUAUAUGUAAAAACGAGGAAAGUAUUAAAGAAACAGUAAUGAUAAAAGAAAGAAAGAAAACUGAAAGAAAGAAAUAAUAAAAAGAAAAGGGAAAAGAGAAAACAAAAUAAAUCUAAUCAAAAAAAAUAAAUAAAAUUGAAAACAACCCUCACUCCCCCGUGGCCCAACUGGGCCAAAAGGCCCAGCCGGCCACCACCCCCACCCUCCAAAACCCUAGCGCCACCCCACCCCCACGCCAACUCCCUCCCCCCCCUGGGCGCCGCCGCCAGCCCCCCCCCUCGUGGGGGGGCCCCACCCCCACGCCGCCACCUCUCCCUCCCCUCUCGUGACCCUCCCCAACCCACCGACACCCCCUCCCCCACGAUCUCCCUCCUCUCCUCCCGUGGCCUCCUCCCCCAGAUCUCUCCCCUGUCGAGCCCCCCUCCUCUCCCAACUCCCACGUCGUCUCCUCCUCCUACCUCCCGUCGACCCCCCCCACCGGCAGCCCCCCCCGACGGCCAGCCCUCUCCCCCGCCGGCCUCCUCCCCCCACGGCCUCCUCCCCACCCCAUGGCCACCUCCUCCACCGGGCCGCCCAACCCGGCGGCCCCCACCUCACGGCGACCCCCCACCUCACGGCGAGCCCCCCCCCUCCCCGGCCGGCGCGCCACCUCCACCACGCCGGCCACCUCGGCCCCCCCCUCCAGGUCCGGCGGCCGGGGCCCUCCCCAUCCCGCCGGCGGCUCCAUCCCGGGGGUCCUCCUCACGGGGCCCCUCUCGGCGAACAUCCGACCGGUUCCUCCUCGCCGGCACGUCACCAUCACCGUCACCGUCACCGCCUCCACGCCGUCUCCACCGUCAUCUUCGUGCGAACUCCGGCUUCACCGGGCCGUCACGUCACCGUCGGUGAGCCCCUCUUCGGGCUCCUCCCACCAUGUCGAUCUCCUCGCCGUCCCGGUUCCGUUCCGGCAAACGGGGCCUCGAUCCGUCGACGGUGGACUCCGGUAGAAGGAUUCGAAGUUUGUGUUCUUCUAGGUGGAGUAGCAAAAGAACUUCUCUGUCUCUGUUAACAGAGAGAGGGAGAUGAGUGUUUUGAGAGAAAAAGAAAUAAAAACAAUUGAUGUAUUAGAUGCCGUAUGUAUGUAUGUAUGUAUGUAUGUAUUCGAUACCCGUAUUAUGUAUGUAUUUGCGUAUAUGGAUAUUUAGAGGAAUACGGUAUUUGCACGGAUAAGUAUCUAAUAAAAAUAAAUGAGGAAAUAACCUUAGGCCACUUACCGGUGGGGCCAAUGCACCGCUGUCAAUGACAGGGAGGCCCCACGCGAUGAUUAAANNNNNNNNNNNNNNNNNNNNNNNNNNNNNNNNNNNNNNNNNUGUUACUGGGAUCUUCGGUGAUUAGUUGUAAGACGGGUGGAUUCCCGCGAGACUGUGUUGUUGGCCUAAUUAAAAUGCUAAUGGAUUUGGGUAUUUGAUCUGGGUUGGUCGGAGACCUUUUCGCACUAACCGGCUACGCGGGAAGAAUUAUGGGUACUCGGCGUCGCGGUAUCAGCCGAAGCUUUUCAGAUGCCAGCAGUGUAGCGGCGCGCGCCCGAGUGGUCCCGAGAUGCAUCGCGCUUGUGAUUAAGGGAUGCUAGGACUGACGUCGGCCGCCCACGCCACGUGCAGGAGCGUGAAGGGGAACUGGGCCCAUGAACCCUUUGUGCUUAGGAUUUAGACCGGCGGGCUGGCCUCUCUGAUUAGUCUUAGGUGGGGUUGCGACGUGUCGAUAUUCCGAGGCCGGGCAGGACCCAGAAAAGUAUGUCCGGCCAGAGUGUUAUCGAGCGUGACGGGACAUGUGGUGCACCCCUGCAGGGAUGAAAAUUAACUAUUCGGAUAGCCGUGUCCACGGUUACAGGACGACUUGGAGUUGUGCCCCGAUCUUAUACAACUAAAAUUGUUACUUAACUGGAAUUAGUUUGCCUCGGGAUUGCUUCCACGCAGGGAGUCGAGGGAGGAUCUUUAGGCGUGACCUCACUUUAUUAUUGCUGCAACAAUAUGACUAUUAAUGUGUUACCCCCCCUGUUCUACUCUCGUCUAUUGCUGCAAGACCCUGAAGAUGCUAGUCUUCGAUAGGACUAGGCCUUUCCUCUCUAUUCUCGCAUUGCUGCAGUCAGUCCACAUAUAACCCCCCCCUUCUUUGAUACUGAUGCAUAAAUAGAAUAGUUCUGAUGUAAGACUUGCGAGUACUUUGGAUGAGUACUCACCGCUGCUUUGCUCCCCCUUGUUCCCUUGAUCCGGUUGCUGCGACCAGAUGAUGAAGCCCAGGAGAUGGAGGUCCCCGCCACCGACGACUGCUACCCCGACGGUGCCUACUACUACGUGGAGGCCGCUGAUGAUCAGGAGUAGAUAGGAGGUUCCCAGGCAGGAGGCCUCGCCUCGUUCGAUCGUUGUAUCUUUUGUGCUAGCCUUCUCUAAGGCACCCCCAUGUUUUGUGUCUGUACUCAGAUAUUUGUUGCUUCCGCUGACUCGUGUGUUUAUCGAGCUUUCGUAUUCUAGCCCUCGAGGCCCCUGGCUUGUAAUAUGAAGCUGAUGUUGUUUUAUUUGUGUCUAGAGUUGUGUUGUGAUAUCUCCCCGUGAGUCCUUGGGUUUGAUCGUACGCAUUUGCGUGUAUGUUUAGCGUACGAUUAAGCCGAGGGCGUCACAAGUUGGUAUCAGAGCCAACUGCCUGUAGGUAGCCCCCCUUUCCAACUCCUUGGCCGAAGUUGAGUCUAGUGUUUGAAAAACUUACUAACACUGAUGUUGUGGCUUACGGGCCCACAUCUCAAUUGGGUGGUAUUAGUAUCUUUUACUCCUUUCCUAUACUCUGGGCUCUACUUUCUCUUCUCUUUCGGGUCAAAGAUUUUACUAACUCUAACAUUAGGUUCUCGAAUCACAUCAAUCCGGAGCGCUGGACUAUCUACUCUUUUUCUCCUGAAUAUGUAUUACACACACUGUCAUUGACAUCCGUCAAUCUUAUUUUCAGAUGCGUCCCGCAAGACAGCACGUGCGCCUGACACAGGCCACCGAGACGACUGGGUUCCCGGCCAUUUUGGUCGAUCUCCUGACCAGGCUGGGAUAUCGCUGGUACCCCGAGUACACUGUGUUCGAGGAUUUCCGCGAGUACAACCAGUACCAGUACCAGGCUGAGGUUCGCAUCUUCGACCAGAGGGGCGGUGAGACCCUCGAGCGCCACGUGUUCUGUGGUAUUGGAGUGUCGGUCGAGAUGGCCGUCCACGAUGCGGCCUACAUCGCCAUCACCCGACUCCGUGGAGCGUACCCUCACCUGGAGGAGAGCCCUUUCAGAUACAUCCCGCAUGCUCCUGCUGGGGAUGAGACUGGGUCUGAUCUCACUGCCUACGCUUCUGACGUUCGGGAGCGCAACGACCGUUCCUACGUCGCUGUCUGCGCCCCCUACGUGACGCGUCGGUACGACGCGCGGAUUUUGGUGCAGUACACUGAGGCAAUGGAUCGUGCUUUCCGAGCUCUGACUGUGGAGUUGUAUGCUACACGCGCUCGUCUUUACGACGCGUUGACAGAGCUGCAGCCAUCACACUGUCCGAGGGAUCCCCCUUUGCGCAUCCGCGAGCCGAGCAGGACAGAGCUACCAUCAGCUCUCGAGUGGACUGAUGUUGGGGGUAGAACCCCUGCACUUGGACCUCAGCUCCUCGACUGGAUGCGGUACCGUCACCAGAGUCACAACGGGACACAGGGUCCUGUCCCUACCUUCUAUCACCGCCAGCUACCAGGAUUCGUUCGUCCUCUCCGACGUUGAUGUAGCCUUAUCGCUACAUCUCGUUGUGGUACUCUUCCACCGCGUGCCUGCGCGCCGCCUAGUGAGUCCAGGGUAUCGUCAAAUGCGUCCGGGCUAUCGCCAAAUUUCGAGUUUUUAAUCGUUAGUCUGUAAUCGAACUUAUGUAUGGGUCUGUAUGUCGAACUCAACUACUAUGGAGUAUCUAUCACAUUUCCCUUUCGUUAUGCUUGGUUACUUCAUGAAUGCGUGCGAUGCCUUUCAAUUACUUUAAGCUAAACUACCCCUGCUAAAUAUUUAACAGGAUGGUUAGACCAGCUGGCCGCCCGCGUGGCCGUGCCAACGAUGCACCACCCCCGCCUCCUGAGUAUAUGGCAGGGAUGAUCCAACAGUUUGAGCUGAACCGCCAGUUUAUGCAAGGGCUCAUGGAUCAGUUCCAAAGGCCGAACAUGAAUCAACCACAAGGCGUGACACUGCAAGACUUCUGCCGUCUCAACCCUGCGAUCUACCGCAGCUCAACUCAGCCUCUUGAUGCUGAUGACUGGCUCCGUGACAUUUCUUAUGAGCUAGAGUCUGCCAAUGUGCCCCUGGCGAGCUAUGUCAACUUUGCCGCCUACUUUCUGAAGGGUCCCGCUGCUCAAUGGUGGGACAGCCACAGGCGCUCUCAGCCCGAUGGAACUAUCAUCACUUGGGCAGAGUUCAAGGCUGCUUUCCGUGCUCGAUACAUUCCCCAGGGAAUCAUGGACCGGAAGAAGCGUGAGUUCCGCAACUUGGUCCAGGGCAACAAGACUGUGGAUGCUUAUCAGCGGGAAUUUUUGGAAUUAUCUCGCUAUGCUGAAGAAGACAUUGCGACUGAUGCACGCAGGCAGGAGAAGUUCCGUGAAGGCCUCCACCCUGAUAUCAAGCUGACACUCCUCGUUCAGGACUAUGCUGAUUUCGCCACCCUCGUGAACAAGGCUAUUCAGGUUGAGACUGGUCUGCAGGAAUACAAAGAUAGCAGCAAGCGCAACCGUGACAUGGGCUCAUCUUCGGGCUCAUCUGCACAGAAGCGGAAGAUCUGGAUUCCCAACAACAUGUACCAUGCACCUGCUCCUACUCCGAGGCCGUCCUAUGCUGCACCUCGCCUGCCUCCUCCACCACCUAGGCAGCCGAGGCUUCCAGCUCCACCGCCUCGAGUUCCUCCUUCCCGUCCUGAGGACGGGUUGUGCUUCAAGUGUGGCCGUCCAGGUCACCGUGCUAGAGACUGCAGGCAGAAUCAGAAUCAGCUGGCACUUCCCGCUACUGGCCGUGGCAACAACCAGAACCGCAACUUCAACACUAAGCCUGCUUAUGUUCGUGGUCAGGCCAACAACAUUGAUAUGGGUCAAGCUCAAGACCAGCCUGCUACCGUGAUGGGUACACUUCUCGUUAACUCAGUACCUGCUUCUGUAUUGUUUGAUACAGGAGCAUCGCAUUCCUUUAUGUCGGAAAAUUUUGCAUACAUGCAUGACAUUAGGAGCGAAGAGAUGAACCUCCCGAUAGUGGUAAACACCCCUGGGGGCGAAUGUCGAACCUCUGUGGUUUGCCCCCAUGUUCCAGUUGAAAUUGAAGGAUUAGAAUUCCUUGCCAACCCCAUCCUACUAAAGUCAUCCAACAUUGAUCUCAUAUUGGGGAUGGACUGGUUGAAGGCUCAUACGGCAUCGAUCGUUUGUGCCACCAAAACCGUCCACCUCCUACACCCUUCAGAUGAACUAGUAAGCUACCAUGCUCGUCUCGUCCGUAAUGCUGAGGCACGGCUGUAUGCCUUGAAUGCAUUAAAUGCGUCGCCUCUUGAAGGGAUUGAAAACAUUCCAGUGGUCCGAGAGUUCCAAGAUGUCUUUCCAGAAGAACUUCCGGGGAUUCCCCCUGCUCGAGCUGUCGAGUUUGUCAUUGACUUGGUACCCGGUACCACUCCUAUUGCCAAGCGUCCUUAUAAAAUGCCACCACAUGAACUCCUUGAACUUAAGCAAGAAAUUGACAACUCGCUCCGUCUGGGUUUCAUCCGUCCGAGUUCCUCUGCUUGGGGAGCACCUUCUCUUUUUGUUAAGAAGAAGGAUGGGACAAAUCGAUUGGUUCAAGACUAUCGUCCUAUCAACCAGGCCACUAUUCAAAACAAAUAUCCUCUCCCUCGGAUAAAUGAUUUGUAUGAUCAACUUGCUGGUUCCACCGUUUUCUCUAAGCUCGACUUGAGAUUGGGAUACCACCAGAUCCGUGUUCGCAAGGAGGAUAUUCCAAAGACCGCCUUUGUUACUCGAUAUGGAUCAUACGAGUACACCGUCAUGUCCUUCGGCUUAACCAAUGCACCGGCAACCUUCUCUCGACUGAUGAAUUAUAUAUUCAUGGACUACCUCGACAAAUUUGUCGUGGUAUAUCUGGAUGAUAUUCUGGUGUUUUCGAAGAACAAAGAAGAGCAUGCUGAACAUCUUCGUCUUGUACUGGAUAAGCUUCGGGAGCAUAAACUCUAUGCGAAGUAUUCCAAAUGUGAGUUCUGGCUAGACGAAGUGACUUACCUUGGUCAUGUGAUUUCCAAGGAUGGUAUUGCGGUCAACCCCGAACGAAUUCAAGCUAUUCUUGACUGGACUCCCCCGAAGAAUGUCAAGCAAGUCAGAAGUUUUCUCGGACUCGCCAGCUAUUGCCGUCGAUUCGUCGAGAACUUCUCCAAGAUUGCGAAGCCCUUAACCAACCUGCUUCACAAAGGUGUUAAGUAUGAAUGGACUGAUAAAUGUCAGGAAAGUUUCCAGGCACUCAAGGACAAACUGACGUCCGCUCCAGUACUUGCUCCUCCAGAUACGAAAAGGGAUUUCGUCAUAUACUGUGAUGCUUCUCGUCAAGGAAUAGGUUGUGUCCUAAUGCAGGAUCGCAAGGUGAUCGCUUAUGCUUCGCGUCAACUGCGUGCUCAUGAAGAGAACUACCCAGUUCAUGAUCUCGAGCUUGCCGCAGUCAUUCAUGCAUUGAAGGAAUGGCGACAAUACCUUGUCGGUAAUCGCUGUGAAAUCUACACCGACCAUCAAAGUCUGAAGUACUUGUUCACUCAACCGGAGCUGAACCUGCGUCAACAAAGAUGGAUGGAGCGUAUAGCAGAUUUUGACUGUAGUAUAUCAUAUACCCCUGGCAAGGCUAACGUAAUGGCUGAUGCCUUAAGUCGCAAGUCAUACUGCAACCACCUCCAGGUUCAUCAGGUUCACGAUCGUCUGCAAGAGGAAUUCCGUAAGCUGAACCUCCACAUUGUUCCUCAGGGUUACCUUGUUCCUCCCCCUGAAGAGUAUCAAAAGAUGAACCUUCGUGUUGUUAAUCAGGGUUCCCUCAGUAACCUAGUGGUUGAACCAGAUCUUGUGAGCUCCAUAAAGAAUAUACAAAACUUUGACGAUGAUGUCGACAGGAUUAAGAGUUAUAUUGCGAAGGGUAAACCCUCCUUUUUCACUGUUGAUGAAGGUGGUGCCUUGUAUUUCAAGGGUCGCCUAUUCGUUCCAAAUAAGAAGGAAAAUCUCAGGAUGACUGGGAAGGUGAUGGAAGAAGCUCAUGACACACCAUUGUCUAUUCACCCGGGUAGUACCAAGAUGUACCAAGACAUCCGGCAAAGAUUCUGGUGGCCCAAUAUGAAACAAGACAUUGCACGCUAUGUGGCAGAAUGUGAUAUAUGCCGGCGUAUCAAAGCAGAACACCAAAAGCCUGCUGGAACUCUGCAACCUAUCUCUAUUCCCGAGUGGAAAUGGGAUCACGUUGAAAUGGACUUCGUCACUGGUUUUCCCAGGUCUCAGAAAGGUAAUGAUGCUAUUCUUGUCGUCAUUGAUCGACUGUCCAAAGUUGCACAUUUCCUGGCCGUCAAAGAAACGAUUAAUGCUAGUCAGCUGGCAGAUCUUUAUAUGUCAAGAGUUGUUUCACUUCACGGUAUUCCGUUGGUAAUCAGUUCGGACCGUGGCAGCUUGUUUACUUCAAAAUUCUGGGAAAGUUUUCAAAAGGCUAUGGGGACUCAUCUGUCCUUCAGCACUGCAUUUCAUCCUCAAUCCCAGGGACAAGUUGAACGAGUCAACCAAAUUCUCGAGGACAUGCUUCGAGCUUGUGUCAUUUCUUUCGGUAAGAAAUGGGAGGAAUCUCUCCCGUAUGCCGAGUUCUCGUACAACAAUAGCUAUCAAGCUAGUCUGAAGAUGGCCCCUUUCGAAGUAUUGUAUGGGCGAAGGUGUCGAACUCCUCUGAAUUGGUCAGAAACUGGGGAACGAUCACUCUUCGGUCCGGAUAUUAUUCAACAUGCCGAAGAUCAAGUCCGCAUUAUUCAUGAGAAUCUGAAGGCUGCUCAGUCUCGUCAGAAGAGUCAGUAUGACCGUCAUCAUCAAGAUAUGGUCUAUCAACCUGGCGAAAAGGCUUAUCUUCGUGUCACACCAAUGAGAGGUGCACACCGUUUCGGAAUCAAGGGCAAGUUAGCUCCUCGUUAUAUUGGUCCUUUCACUGUUCUCGAAAGGCGUGGAAGAGUGGCUUAUCAAUUGGAACUGCCGGCGAACCUUUCUCAGGUUCACGAUGUCUUCCAUGUUUCUCAGCUCCGUCGCUGCUUCAAGGACCCUAUUCGAGCAGUGGAUCACGAUAUGCUUGAGCUACAACAAGACCUCUCUUAUAAAGAGCAUCCGGUCUGCAUUCUCGACCAAGCUGAACGUAAGACUCGUCGCAAGGUCACUAAGUUCCUUAAGGUGCAGUGGUCAAAUCACUCUGAAGAUGAAGCCACUUGGGAACGCGAGGAUCAUCUUCGUGAUGAAUACCCCGGGCUCUUUCCCUGUACCUCUUAAUUCUCGGGACGAGAAUUCUUGUUAGUAGGGGAGAAUUGUGACAUCCUCGACUUUUGCUACAGUAGUAAUCGUAAUCAAGCUACAGUGAUCAACCGUUAAUGAUGCCACGUCAUCGGAUUUCCAUCUCAGACCCGCGUUGAUUCGAGUUUGUCCGGAUUUCAGAUUUGAAAACAAAAGUAGAGUACGUUAUGAGUUCAUUGCAAAUAUUACAAGAAUAUAUAUGUAAAAACGAGGAAAGUAUUAAAGAAACAGUAAUGAUAAAAGAAAGAAAGAAAACUGAAAGAAAGAAAUAAUAAAAAGAAAAGGGAAAAGAGAAAACAAAAUAAAUCUAAUCAAAAAAAAUAAAUAAAAUUGAAAACAACCCUCACUCCCCCGUGGCCCAACUGGGCCAAAAGGCCCAGCCGGCCACCACCCCCACCCUCCAAAACCCUAGCGCCACCCCACCCCCACGCCAACUCCCUCCCCCCCCCUGGGCGCCGCCGCCAGCCCCCCCCCUCGUGGGGGGCCCCACCCCCACGCCGCCACCUCUCCCUCCCCUCUCGUGACCCUCCCCAACCCACCGACACCCCCUCCCCCACGAUCUCCCUCCNNNNNNNNNNNNNNNNNNNNNNNNNNNNNNNNNNNNNNNNNNNNNNNNNNNNNNNNNNNNNNNNNNNNNNNNNNNNNNNNNNNNNNNNNNNNNNNNNNNNCCAGCCGUGCGACAGCGUGACAUCGGGGCAAGGGAGUGACACGUGGUGGUCCUAGUGCCACCGCGCUUGGUGCACCGAGACGCUCACACGCUGGCGAGGCCGGUGGGAAGACGAUGGCGGGGAGAUGGCGCGGGGGUAGAGCGGGGCCUUGCCCUUGUUUGGAAAGCCCGCCGACCAUGGUGCUAAGGUUUUGGUCACCGAGGAGGUGGCUGGAUGUGGACGGACGGGGUUUUGGAAGCAGAUGGCGGAACCCACAGCACGCUCGGAUUAAAAAAGACCGGUCGCGGUCGCUGACGCGUGGGCCCGAGGAUGGCGACCGUCAUAAAUAAUGUUGACCGCGGUGGUUGGGGGCGGACAUCGAGAGGGUGCGCGCGCGUCCGCUUCGCUUCUGCGCAACACAUUUCAGUCUCAAAUUUGGGCCGGAAAUGGAUCGGCGCGGACGCGUUUUGGCAAUGGGUCGACGCGUUAGGUCAUUAUUUUUGUCCCCGCCGACCCAAACGGACGACGGCGGACGAAAUGGGUCGUCCCAUUGAAGUUGCUCUAACUAUUUUUUUUGAACCAUUUAUAAUUUUUUUGGCAGCCAAAAAAAAAAGUUUAAGUGCCGCAAAUAUACGGCACUUCCGUGGUUGCCUUAACCCAAAGCUCCCCGCGCGUGACACAACCACCGGUCGACUUCACCAGACCAGAGGCCACCGCCAUCCCUCGUUAAUGGCCUCCUCAUCAGCAGCGGCUGCCACCUGCAGAUUCCUGACCCCGCUAGCCACAACCUCGCGCACUCUGCUAUCAUAUAUCCCACCCACAGCCGCGGCAACGAGCAGGAGGCUGCUCCUCUCCUCCACCACCGCCAUUUGCGCCGCCGCUAUGGCCGCCUCCGGCAAGGCCGCCUCCGCUUCUUGCAAGGUCGUGGACUCCCAUCUCCACGUCUGGGCAUCGCCGCUGCAGGUAAAAAAGGCACCUCCACGGACGGACGCGCACCAAUUCCCAAUUGUUGGCACCUUCCCUUGAUGAGAUUUAUGUGGUUGUGCGCGCGUGCAGGCUGCCGAGAAUUAUCCCUUUUUCCCGGGCCAGGAGACGACGCUCCGGGGUGAUGUGGACUUCUUGCUCCAGGUCUCCAUUAUUCUUCUUUGCUUGUGGAAGUAUCUUUGGAUAUGAUGAUAGUACUCAGUACAUGGAUAUGAUGAUAGUACUCACUACUCAGUAGAUGGAUAUGAUGAUAGUAGACCGCAUCCUGGCAUGAUUUUUAGUUUUCUCUGAUAAUCGGGGCAGGAUUGCGGUGGUACUGGUUGUUUGGCUGAACAAAUGCAUAGGCCAUAGGGUGUUAAGGUGCCCUCCUUUUCUGGUUCCAUAGGUUGUGUGUGUGCGUUGAGUGCUGCAUUGCAAGUGUUCGACGGAAUAUGUGAACCAAAUGUAAGCUAUAGGGAGUUAAAUUUGAGGAUUCGGUUCGGUCCAGCCACCGUUUAACCCCUCAAAUUAUAAGGAGUUAAGUAUAAAGAGGCAUAUAAGGAGUUGCAUUUUAAGGGAUCGGCUGGAGAUGCCCUAAAUUAGCUAUUUGGAGCUUGGGAAUUUAACGAGGAAACGCAACACCCAACGCCCCCUUCCCUAUUUCUGUGUAUCGACAUGACCUCUGUUUCUUAGCUGCUAGCUAUGUACUGCAAAAUAUUAGUUCCAACAUGCAUUUCAUAUUUCUUUAUCCCGGCACUUAUUUUUUUAUUAAACUCUUGAGACCUGAGACUAAUAUGCCGGUCAGAUUAUCAUUUUGAACCUAUUUGUUUCUCUUUCCCCUAGUGUAUGGAUGAAGCUGGAGUUGACGGCGCGCUCAUUGUUCAGCCUAUUAAUCACAUGUUUGACCACUCUUUAGUUACUAGGUAAACUUUUCUUGCAUCCAGAUGAACUGAACUAGUCAUAUGAUUUGUAUCUAUAUGAAAAGUUCAGUGAAAUUCCCUCUUUGAUAUGUCUCAGUCUUACUUGUUUUUCUCUGUAGUGUGUU
This 26646-nucleotide long non-coding RNA is filed under the name Hordeum vulgare. RNAcentral describes it as "long non-coding RNA (HVUL_LNC007907)". Lineage: Eukaryota; Viridiplantae; Streptophyta; Magnoliopsida; Poales; Poaceae. The record is from RNAcentral.